This 253-nucleotide ribosomal RNA is filed under the name uncultured bacterium. Its description in RNAcentral is "partial 16S ribosomal RNA". It matches the Rfam family "Bacterial small subunit ribosomal RNA", at positions 524 to 776 of the family's 1533-position model. The record is from RNAcentral.
UACGUAGGGUGCGAGCGUUGUCCGGAAUUAUUGGGCGUAAAGGGCUCGUAGGCGGUCUGUCGCGUCGGGAGUGAAAACUCAGGGCUUAACCCUGAGCCUGCUUCCGAUACGGGCAGACUAGAGGUAUGCAGGGGAGAACGGAAUUCUUGGUGUAGCGGUGGAAUGCGUAGAUAUCAAGAGGAACACCUGAGGUGAAGACGGGUUGCUGGGCUGACACUGACGCUGAGGCGCGAAAGCCAGGGGAGCAAACGGG